Molecule: ribosomal RNA, 463 nt
Filed under: uncultured bacterium
Lineage: Bacteria
Description: partial 16S ribosomal RNA
Rfam family: Bacterial small subunit ribosomal RNA
Source: RNAcentral
GAUGAACGCUGACAGAAUGCUUAACACAUGCAAGUCUUUGGCGAAGCUGUGCUCGCACAGCCUAGCCAAGGCGGACGGGUGAGUAACGCGUAAGGAACUUGCCCUGCAGUCAGGGAUAACAGACGGAAACGACUGAUAAGACCUGGUAAAGUCAGGCGGACUCAUGUCCAGCCUGAUGAAAAGAGAUGCUGCAGGAGAGCCUUGCGUCCUAUUAGCUUGUUGGUGGGGUAACGGCCCACCAAGGCGAUGAUAGGUAGCCGGCCUGAGAGGGUGGACGGCCACAGGGGGACUGAGAUACGGCCCUUACUCCUACGGGAGGCAGCAGUGGGGAAUAUUGGACAAUGGGGGCAACCCUGAUCCAGCAAUUCUGUGUGCACGAUGAAGGUUUUCGGAUUGUAAAGUGCUUUCAGCAGGGAAGAAAAAAAUGACGGUACCUGCAGAAGAAGCGACGGCUAAAUACGUG